UCUUUAGAAUCCUCUGGUAAUGUUCCGGCAAUAGGCUUUACCUUCUUAUCUGCCGUUUUAUAUCUUGUCUCUACUGUGACUUCUGGUGCUUGAAAAGAUUCAAGCAUGGUAUAAACCUCUCUCGAAUGAAUCUCAACAAUCUUAUCAUUAUCUCCUAACCCAUAGAUGUAAUCAAUUCCAAUGAAUCUUUCUGUCCAUUUUCUUCAUAAACACCUAAAAUCCUCUCAUUUUCUUGCAAUGUACCUAACUUACAUAAUUCUUCUUUAAUAUUAUAUAAUC
This 279-nucleotide long non-coding RNA is filed under the name Physcomitrium patens. Its description in RNAcentral is "long non-coding RNA (PPAT_LNC005632)". Lineage: Eukaryota; Viridiplantae; Streptophyta; Bryopsida; Funariales; Funariaceae. The record is from RNAcentral.